RNAcentral lists this ribosomal RNA (451 nucleotides) under uncultured bacterium. RNAcentral describes it as "bacterial SSU rRNA". It matches the Rfam family "Bacterial small subunit ribosomal RNA", at positions 28 to 507 of the family's 1533-position model. The record is from RNAcentral.
GAUGAACGCUGGCGGCGUGCCUAACACAUGCAAGUCGAGCGAUUUACUUCGGUAAAGAGCGGCGGACGGGUGAGUAACGCGUGGGUAACCUGCCCUAUACACACGGAUAACAUACCGAAAGGUAUGCUAAUACGAGAUGACAUAAGAGAUUCGCAUGGAUUUCUUAUCAAAGCUUUUGCGGUAUAGGAUGGACCCGCGUCUGAUUAGCUAGUUGGUAAGGUAACGGCUUACCAAGGCGACGAUCAGUAGCCGACCUGAGAGGGUGAUCGGCCACAUUGGAACUGAGACACGGUCCAAACUCCUACGGGAGGCAGCAGUGGGGAAUAUUGCACAAUGGGCGAAAGCCUGAUGCAGCAACGCCGCGUGAGCGAUGAAGGCCUUGGGUCGUAAAGCUCUGUCCUCAAGGAAGAUAAUGACGGUACUUGAGGAGGAAGCCCCGGCUAACUACGUG